UUAUGGCCAUAUCACGUUGAAACACCGGUUCUCGUAUGAUCACCGAAGUUAAGCGACGUCAAACUUUGUCAGUACCUAGAUGGGUACCCGCUUGAGAAUACCAGGUGCU
Non-coding RNA from Acanthosepion pharaonis, 109 nucleotides. NCBI's taxonomy places the organism in Eukaryota, Metazoa, Mollusca, Cephalopoda, Sepiida, Sepiidae. The record is from the annotation of a GenBank genome assembly.